Molecule: ribosomal RNA, 247 nt
Filed under: uncultured bacterium
Lineage: Bacteria
Description: partial 16S ribosomal RNA
Rfam family: Bacterial small subunit ribosomal RNA
Source: RNAcentral
AUACGGAGGGUGCAAGCGUUAUCCGGAUUCACUGGGUUUAAAGGGUGCGUAGGUGGGUUGGUAAGUCAGUGGUGAAAUCUUCGAGCUUAACUCGGAAACUGCCAUUGAUACUAUCAGUCUUGAAUAUUGUGGAGGUUAGCGGAAUAUGUCAUGUAGCGGUGAAAUGCUUAGAUAUGACAUAGAACACCAAUUGCGAAGGCAGCUGGCUACACAUACAUUGACACUGAGGCACGAAAGCGUGGGGAUC